CCUACGGGCGGCAGCAGUGGGGAAUAUUGCACAAUGGGGGAAACCCUGAUGCAGCGACGCCGCGUGAGUGAAGAAGUAUUUGGGUAUGUAAAGCUCUAUCAGCAGGGAAGAAAAUGACGGUACCUGAUUAAGAAGCCCCGGCUAACUACGUGCCAGCAGCCGCGGUAAUACGGAGGAUGCGAGCGUUAUCCGGAUUUAUUGGGUUUAAAGGGAGCGUAGACGGUUAUGUAAGUCUGGAGUGAAAGCCCGGGGCCCAACCCCGGGACUGCUUUGGAAACUGUGUAACUGGAGUACAGGAGGGGCAGGCGGAAUUCCUGGUGUAGCGGUGAAAUGCGUAGAUAUCAGGAGGAACACCGGCGGCGAAGGCGGCCUGCUGGACUGAAACUGACGUUGAGGCUCGAAAGCGUGGGGAGCAAACAGGAUUAGAUACCCUUGUAGUC
RNAcentral lists this ribosomal RNA (440 nucleotides) under uncultured bacterium. RNAcentral's name for it is "partial 16S ribosomal RNA". It matches the Rfam family "Bacterial small subunit ribosomal RNA", at positions 338 to 795 of the family's 1533-position model. The record is from RNAcentral.